Long non-coding RNA from Peromyscus leucopus (white-footed mouse), 2813 nucleotides. RefSeq lists it as uncharacterized. The transcript is spliced from 3 exons. NCBI's taxonomy places the organism in Eukaryota, Metazoa, Chordata, Mammalia, Rodentia, Cricetidae. The record is from RefSeq and is a predicted model, not a curated record.
GCCAAUCAGUGUUUUAUUUAUUGACCAAUCAGGGCAAUUUGCCAUACAGACCAUCCCACAGCACCGGGCCACUGAGGAAAGUGCUAAAGUCUGGUCAUCAAUUUAAUCUCAGAAUUGGGAGAGAUGUAGGUUAAUGUAAUUGUUAUGAUCCAUGUGCAGAAGGUGGGACACUUGAAUGGAGGGCAGAAGGAAGUUGCCUGGAUUAGGAAGAGGAUAUUCCAGGUGACUAUCACAGCAGAGACCCAGGGAACGAAACCUUGGUUGUUUUGGUUCUGUAUGCGCUGACAGACAGCUGGUAGGAGGGAAGAGAUGAAGUACAGCAGGAUUAAAACUUGGAUACAGGCAGCCUGAUGCAACCAUGAGGAAGCUGCUUCUCUUUCGGAGAGAGGCACAUGCUGACUCCAGGUAAACGUCUGUGAUGGUUUUGAUCGCCAGCUUCAGAGGAUCCAGAGUCGCCGUGGGAACGUCUCGUGAGCAGAUCUGUGAGUGGCUUUCUAGAUUACGUUAACUGAGGUGGGAGGAUUGGUCAUAAAUGUGGUGGCUGGUGUCCUGUGGGCUGGUGUCCCAGGCUGCAAAGCAAGGAGAAACCUACUUCUCAUGCUGCUGUCCCCAAAUCCCAGCAAUUUAACUGAUAUCCUAACUAAUAUCCAAACAUCAGAAGUCGGAAAUCCUUCCAAGUCAACCCUUUUCUGAGCAUCUACUUGGCAUCAUGAGUGGAAACUUUUACACCUUACCUCAGGCUAUCUGUCGCAGUCCAGGUGUAGGUACACUGAAAAAAAAAAAAAAACUGUAUAAAAUCACCUACAGGCUAUGUAUAAGAGGUGUCUAUAAACCUAAAUGGCCAAGUGUGGUAGCACACACCUCAAGUGGCCGAGUCGGGAAAAUAUUUUCUGCCAUUCUGUAGGUUACUUUAAAAAUUCUGUCCAUUGUGUUCUUUAUGGGGGCACAAUUCUUAACUUUGAUUAAGUUCAAUUUGUAUUUUUUUUCUUUGCCUGUGUUUUGAUGUCCUACCCAAGAAAUCACCAUCAAGUCCAGGUUUUGAAGAAUGUCUUACUUUCUUCUAGGACUUGUGUAGGUUUAGGUUUUUCUUACAAGUCUUUGAUCUGUUUUGAAUUAAUGUUUGCAUGUAGUAUCAAGGGUCCACUCCAUCCUUUCUCUUGUAUAUAUUCAAUUAUCCUAAAAUCCAUGAUUGUCCUUUCUCUACUGAAUGGUCUUAAUGUCCGUCCUGUUUUAUUGGCAUGUCUUUAUGCCCACACCAUGAUGUUCUGGUUACAGAAUUGUGAUAAAACUUCCAUUUAGAAAGUUAGAAACCUCCAACUUUGUGUUCCUUUUUCAAGAUCUUUUUGCUAUUUACUGUGUCUUGAGAGUCUAUAUGAGUUUUAGGAUGGAUUUUCUGGUUUCUGAAAAACAAAAAACCAUUGGGAUUUUGAUGGAGAUGGUGUUCAGUCUAUAGACCAUUUUGGGUAAUGUGGCUAGCUUAAUGAUAACGAUGUUACAAUUCCUGAAAACAAGUGUUUGUCCAUUUCUUCAUGUGUUCUUUAGUUUCUUUUAGCAAUGUCUAGUUGUUUUUAUUUUAUACACUAUUUUCCUUUUUGGUUAAGGUCAUUAUUCUAAGUAGUUUAUUCUUUUGAUAUGAUUGUGAAUUGAAUUGUUUCUGUAAUCAAAGCAGAUAUCUUGGCCUUCCAUGAUGCCAAGUUUCUCUUCUCCAGAGACUGGGUGAUACUAAUUCGGAAGGAUGAGAGUCCAGGCCACCCAGAGGUUCCCCUUCAUCCUAAGAAGGGACUGCAAUUUGGAAUCAGAACCUCCGAGAGAGCCAAGUUUGGUGGUUUGCCAAACAGACGAUGCUCCUUCCGUGUGAUGUACAGUGAGCAUUGGGGGCGAGCAUCUUCCUGUGGAUCCCAUGUGCACAGCUCUGGAUGGCAAACGAGGGGACUCUGGGAAGGAGGAUGCACUAGGGGAGAAAGAUUUGUCCAGCACCCAUUAGACAACGGGCUAAGAACACAAACAGACUUAGAGCAGAGGAGAAAAGGAGAGGAAAAAACCCAAAAACCAAAAAACACAACCACCACCGUAAAGCAAAGAGUCAAAGCUUGCUGAAUCCUUACUCUAGAGUUAGAGCAUGGGACAAUCUGCAGAGCCUACAGAAUGAGAGAAAAACCUUUGUCCACCAGACUAAUAGCUAGAAUCUGUAAACAGCUCUAAAAAUUAAAUGGCCAAAUCAUCAUCAUCAAGUCAACAAAUGGGCAAACGAAUUUGACAGGUAACUCUCCAAAGAAGAAAUACAAAUAGUCAGUGAAUACUUGACAAACAUUUCAAUAGUCUCAGCCAUCAGGAGCUACAAAUGAAAACUGCAUUGAAAUUUGAUCUUACCCAGUCAGAGGGAACAGUCUCCCCAUCAUCAAGGGAAUAAAUGACAGGUCCUGGUGAGGAUGGGGAGAGGAGCAUUUACACAGUGCUCAUGGGAAUGUGAACUUCUGUCAUUACUAUGGAAAUCAGCGCAGAGGUUCUACAACAACCUGAAAGUACAACUACUCUUAGGGACUCUAAGUUAGCUCACUACAGAGACCCUUGCACAUCCAUGUUUAUUGCUGCUUUAUUCACAAUAACCAGGGAAUGGAACCAGGACUAGAUGUCCAUCAACAGAUGAGUGAAAAAAGAAAAUGUGGUGCAAGAGAAUUUUAUUCAGCCAUAGAGAAGAAAGAAAUUCACUGGAAAUGGCAGAGAGAAGAAUGUCUUUUUACUGGGAAAAUGGAUGGAUCUGGCGAUCAUCAUGUUAAGCAAAAGAAGCCAAAUGCAGACAGACAAAUACAUAA